This 148-nucleotide small RNA is filed under the name Macaca mulatta (Rhesus monkey). RNAcentral describes it as "Metazoan signal recognition particle RNA (ENSMMUG00000050451.1)". The record is from Rfam by way of RNAcentral. Lineage: Eukaryota; Metazoa; Chordata; Mammalia; Primates; Cercopithecidae.
GCCAGGUGUGGCGGUGUGCGCCUGUAGUCCCAGCUACUUGGGAGGCCGAGGCAGGAGAAUCGCUUGAACCCAGGAGGCGGAGGUUGCAGUGAGCUGAGAUCGUGCCACUGCACUCCAGCCUGGGCAACAGAGUGAGACCCUGUCUCAA